AUACUUGGACAUUUCCAAUCUGGCAACACUGUGAUUCAAUAAAAGAAACCGGCUCAAAAGAGUCAAUCGUUCUGAAAUCAAACCACACUGCUCUCGCGGUAUGUUUUGGGCUGUAAGUUUAGUAGCGGCGUUGCUGUGGCGGAACUCGCUUCCUAACUCUAAUGAGGACGAAUUGCAGGACCUUUGAGGACUCCAACAGACCAGUUUGUGGAAAGUUAAUAAGGGUCUAGCCGACAGAGCACUGGACCCUGGAGAGAUGGCACUGUGAAUACAAGGUUUUUCAUCUCUGUUUCAGAUGAGGGGGACAGCUCUGUUGGCAUGGCAGAUCAGAGAUGCAUCUCACGUAGCGACAGAAGAGCUCUAAAGUCCAACCGCGGGUUCGUC
This is a long non-coding RNA of Sinocyclocheilus anshuiensis, 384 nucleotides long. RefSeq lists it as uncharacterized. The transcript has 4 exons. The record is from RefSeq and is a predicted model, not a curated record. NCBI's taxonomy places the organism in Eukaryota, Metazoa, Chordata, Actinopteri, Cypriniformes, Cyprinidae.